GCCCUCGUAACUCAGUUGGAUAGAGUGUCAGCCUUCUAAGCUGAAAGUCGCAGGUUCGAAUCCUGUCGGGGGCA
RNAcentral lists this transfer RNA (74 nucleotides) under Patescibacteria group bacterium. RNAcentral's name for it is "tRNA-Arg". It matches the Rfam family "tRNA". Rfam says of the family: Transfer RNA (tRNA) molecules are approximately 80 nucleotides in length. Their secondary structure includes four short double-helical elements and three loops (D, anti-codon, and T loops). Further hydrogen bonds mediate the characteristic L-shaped molecular structure. tRNAs have two regions of fundamental functional importance: the anti-codon, which is responsible for specific mRNA codon recognition, and the 3' end, to which the tRNAs corresponding amino acid is attached (by aminoacyl-tRNA synthetases). tRNAs cope with the degeneracy of the genetic code in two manners: having more than one tRNA (with a specific anti-codon) for a particular amino acid; and 'wobble' base-pairing, i.e. permitting non-standard base-pairing at the 3rd anti-codon position. The record is from RNAcentral.